Molecule: ribosomal RNA, 497 nt
Filed under: uncultured bacterium
Lineage: Bacteria
Description: partial 16S ribosomal RNA
Rfam family: Bacterial small subunit ribosomal RNA
Source: RNAcentral
AUUGAACGCUGGCGGCAUGCCUUACACAUGCAAGUCGAACGGUAACAGGCCUUCGGAUGCUGACGAGUGGCGAACGGGUGAGUAAUACAUCGGAACGUGCCUAGUAGUGGGGGAUAACUACUCGAAAGAGUGGCUAAUACCGCAUGAGAUCUACGAUGAAGGCAGGGGAUCGCAAGACCUUGUGCUACUAGAGCGGCCGAUGGCAGAUUAGGUAGUUGGUGGGAUAAAAGCUUACCAAGCCGACGAUCUGUAGCUGGUCUGAGAGGACGAUCAGCCACACUGGGACUGAGAAACGGCCCAGACUCCUACGGGAGGCAGCAGUGGGGAAUUUUGGACAAUGGGCGCAAGCCUGAUUCAGCAAUGCCGCGUGCAGGAUGAAGGCCUUCGGGUUGUAAACUGCUUUUGUACGGAACGAAAAGCCCCGGGUUAAUACCCUGGGGUCAUGACGGUACCGUAAGAAUAAGCACCGGCUAACUACGUGCCAGCAGCCGCCGUAA